RNAcentral lists this ribosomal RNA (661 nucleotides) under uncultured bacterium. Its description in RNAcentral is "bacterial SSU rRNA". It matches the Rfam family "Bacterial small subunit ribosomal RNA", at positions 1 to 659 of the family's 1533-position model. The record is from RNAcentral.
CCCUUAGAGUUUGAUCCUGGCUCAGAUUGAACGCUGGCGGCAGGCCUAACACAUGCAAGUCGAGCGGAUGACAGGAGCUUGCUCCUGAAUUCAGCGGCGGACGGGUGAGUAAUGCCUAGGAAUCUGCCUGGUAGUGGGGGACAACGUUUCGAAAGGAACGCUAAUACCGCAUACGUCCUACGGGAGAAAGCAGGGGACCUUCGGGCCUUGCGCUAUCAGAUGAGCCUAGGUCGGAUUAGCUAGUUGGUGAGGUAAUGGCUCACCAAGGCGACGAUCCGUAACUGGUCUGAGAGGAUGAUCAGUCACACUGGAACUGAGACACGGUCCAGACUCCUACGGGAGGCAGCAGUGGGGAAUAUUGGACAAUGGGCGAAAGCCUGAUCCAGCCAUGCCGCGUGUGUGAAGAAGGUCUUCGGAUUGUAAAGCACUUUAAGUUGGGAGGAAGGGUUGUAGAUUAAUACUCUGCAAUUUUGACGUUACCGACAGAAUAAGCACCGGCUAACUCUGUGUCAGCAGCCGCGGUAAUACAGAGGGUGCAAGCGUUAAUCGGAAUUACUGGGCGUAAAGCGCGCGUAGGUGGUUCGUUAAGUUGAAUGUGAAAUCCCCGGGCUCAACCUGGGAACUGCAUCCAAAACUGGCGAGCUAGAGUAUGGUAGAGGGG